This 122-nucleotide ribosomal RNA is filed under the name Amanita muscaria (fly agaric). RNAcentral's name for it is "partial 5.8S ribosomal RNA". It matches the Rfam family "5.8S ribosomal RNA", at positions 1 to 119 of the family's 154-position model. Rfam says of the family: 5.8S ribosomal RNA (5.8S rRNA) is a component of the large subunit of the eukaryotic ribosome. It is transcribed by RNA polymerase I as part of the 45S precursor that also contains 18S and 28S rRNA. Functionally, it is thought that 5.8S rRNA may be involved in ribosome translocation. The record is from RNAcentral. Lineage: Eukaryota; Fungi; Basidiomycota; Agaricomycetes; Agaricales; Amanitaceae.
UACAACUUUCAACAACGGAUCUCUUGGCUCUCGCAUCGAUGAAGAACGCAGCGAAAUGCGAUAAGUAAUGUGAAUUGCAGAAUUCAGUGAAUCAUCGAAUCUUUGAACGCAUCUUGCGCUCC